RNAcentral lists this ribosomal RNA (490 nucleotides) under uncultured bacterium. RNAcentral describes it as "partial 16S ribosomal RNA". It matches the Rfam family "Bacterial small subunit ribosomal RNA", at positions 30 to 507 of the family's 1533-position model. The record is from RNAcentral.
AUUGAACGCUGGCGGCAGGCCUAACACAUGCAAGUCGAGCGGUAACAGGAAGCAGCUUGCUGCUUCGCUGACGAGUGGCGGACGGGUGAGUAAUGUCUGGGAAGCUGCCUGAUGGAGGGGGUUAACUACUGGAAACGGUAGCUAAUACCGCAUAAUGUCGCAAGACCAAAGAGGGGGACCUUCGGGCCUCUUGCCAUCGGAUGUGCCCAGAUGGGAUUAGCUUGUUGGUGGGGUAACGGCUCACCAAGGCGACGAUCCCUAGCUGGUCUGAGAGGAUGACCAGCCACACUGGAACUGAGACACGGUCCAGACUCCUACGGGAGGCAGCAGUGGGGAAUAUUGCACAAUGGGCGCAAGCCUGAUGCAGCCAUGCCGCGUGUAUGAAGAAGGCCUUCGGGUUGUAAAGUACUUUCAGCGGGGAGGAAGGGAGUAAAGUUAAUACCUUUGCUCAUUGACGUUACCCGCAGAAGAAGCACCGGCUAACUCCGUG